RNAcentral lists this ribosomal RNA (243 nucleotides) under uncultured bacterium. RNAcentral describes it as "partial 16S ribosomal RNA". It matches the Rfam family "Bacterial small subunit ribosomal RNA", at positions 524 to 775 of the family's 1533-position model. The record is from RNAcentral.
UACGUAGGGCGCAAGCGUUGUCCGGAAUUAUUGGGCGUAAAGAGCUCGUAGGCGGUUCUCGCGUCUGCUGUGAAGUCCCGGAGCUCAACUCCGGUCUGCAGUCGAUACGGCAACUGGAGUACUGCAGGGAGACUGGAAUUCCUGGUGUAGCGGUGAAUGCGCAGAUAUCAGGAGGAACACCGGUGGCGAAGGCGCCACUCUGGCCGGAACUGACGCUGAGGAGCGAAAGCUAGGGAGCAACGG